CGUCAAGUCAUCAUGGCCCUUAUGGGCAGGGCUACACACGUGCUACAAUGGCGAAUACAGAGGGCUGCAAACCUGCAAAGGUAAGCUAAUCCCUUAAAGCUCGUCGUAGUCCGGAUCGGAGUCUGCAACUCGACUCCGUGAAGUCGGAAUCGCUAGUAAUCGCGAAUCAGAAUGUCGCGGUGAAUACGUUCCCGGGUCUU
RNAcentral lists this ribosomal RNA (200 nucleotides) under uncultured prokaryote. RNAcentral's name for it is "partial 16S ribosomal RNA". It matches the Rfam family "Bacterial small subunit ribosomal RNA", at positions 1183 to 1382 of the family's 1533-position model. The record is from RNAcentral.